Molecule: small nuclear RNA, 23 nt
Filed under: Arabidopsis thaliana (thale cress)
Lineage: Eukaryota; Viridiplantae; Streptophyta; Magnoliopsida; Brassicales; Brassicaceae
Description: snRNA_16932
Source: RNAcentral
GUGAACAUGAUGCUUGCAAGAUC